GACAGAGGGUGCAAACGUUGUUCGGAAUUACUGGGCGUAAAGCGCGUGUAGGCGGCCUCGCAAGUCGGAUGUGAAAGCCCUGGGCUCAACCCAGGAAGUGCACUCGAAACUGCAAGGCUUGAGUCCCGGAGAGGAAAGCGGAAUUCUCGGUGUAGAGGUGAAAUUCGUAGAUAUCGAGAGGAACACCGGUGGCGAAGGCGGCUUUCUGGACGGCGACUGACGCUGAGACGCGAAAGCGUGGGGAGCAAACAGG
This 253-nucleotide ribosomal RNA is filed under the name uncultured bacterium. RNAcentral's name for it is "partial 16S ribosomal RNA". It matches the Rfam family "Bacterial small subunit ribosomal RNA", at positions 524 to 776 of the family's 1533-position model. The record is from RNAcentral.